Molecule: transfer RNA, 72 nt
Filed under: Siphonops annulatus
Lineage: Eukaryota; Metazoa; Chordata; Amphibia; Gymnophiona; Siphonopidae
Description: tRNA-Lys
Rfam family: tRNA
About the family: Transfer RNA (tRNA) molecules are approximately 80 nucleotides in length. Their secondary structure includes four short double-helical elements and three loops (D, anti-codon, and T loops).
Source: RNAcentral
CAUUAGGUAGCUAAUAAAGAAAAGCAUUAGUCUUUUAAACUAAUAUUGGUAUUUAUCAACUACCCCUAAUGA